This 478-nucleotide ribosomal RNA is filed under the name uncultured bacterium. Its description in RNAcentral is "bacterial SSU rRNA". It matches the Rfam family "Bacterial small subunit ribosomal RNA", at positions 40 to 507 of the family's 1533-position model. The record is from RNAcentral.
CUACAGGCUUAACACAUAGCAAGUCGAGGGGAAACGACAUCGAAGCUUGCUUUUGAUGGGUGUCGACCGCGCACGGUGAGUAACGCGUAUCCAACCUGCCCACCACUUGGGGAUAACCUUGCGAAAGUAAGACUAAUACCCAAUGAUAUCCCACGAAGGCAUCCGAAUGGGAUUAAAGAUUUAUCGGUGAUGGAUGGGGAUGCGUCUGAUUAGCUUGUUGGCGGGGUAACGGCCCACCAAGGCUACGAUCAGUAGGGGUUCUGAGAGGAAGGUCCCCCACAUUGGAACUGAGACACGGUCCAAACUCCUACGGGAGGCAGCAGUGAGGAAUAUUGGUCAAUGGGCGAGAGCCUGAACCAGCCAAGUAGCGUGCAGGAUGACGGCCCUAUGGGUUGUAAACUGCUUUUAUAAGGGAAUAAAGUGAGCCUCGUGAGGCUUUUUGCAUGUACCUUAUGAAUAAGGACCGGCUAAUUCCGUG